This 1208-nucleotide ribosomal RNA is filed under the name metagenome. RNAcentral describes it as "bacterial SSU rRNA". It matches the Rfam family "Bacterial small subunit ribosomal RNA", at positions 8 to 1248 of the family's 1533-position model. The record is from RNAcentral.
AGAGUUUGAUCCCGGCUCAGAAUCAACGCUGGCGGCGCGCCUAACACAUGCAAGUCGAACGGGAAAGGGGAGCAAUCCCUGAGUAUAGUGGCGUACGGGUGAGUAACACGUGGUAAUCUACCUCUGGGUGUGGAAUAACCCUGGGAAACCGGGGCUAAUACCGCAUAAGCCCGAUGGGGGAAAGUCGCAAGACGCCGAGAGAGGAGCCCGCGGCCGAUUAGCUAGUUGGCAGGGUAAACGCCUACCAAGGCAGAGAUCGGUAGCCGGCCUGAGAGGGCACACGGCCACACUGGCACUGAAACACGGGCCAGACUCCUACGGGUGGCAGCAGUGGGGAAUCUUGCACAAUGGGGGAAACCCUGAUGCAGCGACGCCGCGUGAGCGAUGAAGCCCUUCGGGGCGUAAAGCUCUUUCGGCAGGGAAGAUUAUGACGGUACCUGCAGAAGCAGCUGCGGCUAACUACGUGCCAGCAGCCGCGGUAAUACGUAGGCAGCGAGCGUUGUUCGGAGUUACUGGGCGUAAAGGGUGUGUAGGCCGCUUCUUAAGUUUGGUGUGAAAUCUCCCGGCUCAACCGGGAGGGUGCGCCGAAUACUGAGAGGCUCGAGUGCGGGAGAGGAGAGUGGAAUUCCUGGUGUAGCGGUGAAAUGCGUAGAUAUCAGGAGGAACACCGGCGGUGUAGACGGCUCUCUGGACCGCGACUGACGCUGAGACACGAAAGCGUGGGUAGCAAACAGGAUUAGAUACCCUGGUAGUCCACGCCCUAAACGAUGCAUAUUUGGUGUGGGCAGUUCAUUCUGUCCGUGCCGGAGCUAACGCGUUAAAUAUGCCGCCUGGGGAGUACAGUCGCAAGGCUGAAACUCAAAGGAAUUGACGGGGGCCCGCACAAGCGGUGGAGCAUGUGGUUCAAUUCGACGCAACGCGAAGAACCUUACCUGGGCUCGAACGGCUGGUCAACGGAGGCGGAAACGUUUCUACCCCGCAAGGGGGUCCAGUCGAGGUGCUGCAUGGCUGUCGUCAGCUCGUGUCGUGAGAUGUUGGGUUAAGUCCCGCAACGAGCGCAACCCUUGUCCUGUGUUGCCAUGCCCGCAAGGGCGGAACUCGCAGGAGACCGCCAGCGAUAAGCUGGAGGAAGGUGGGGAUGACGUCAAGUCCUCAUGGCCUUAAUGUCCAGGGCUACACACGUGCUACAAUGGACGGUACAAAGCGCC